GUAGGCCGUGUCUCCCCUCCAGGGGCCCCGCUCCGCCGCGGGACGGUAGGUGGGUUGGCGUAGGCCGUGUCUCCCCUCCAGGGGCCCCGCUCCGCCGCGGGACGGUAGGUGGGUUGGCGUAGGCCGUGUCUCCCCUCCAGGGGCCCCGCUCCGCCGCGGGACGGUAGGUGGGUUGGCGUAGGCCGUGUCUCCCCUCCAGGGGCCCCGCUCCGCUGCGGGACGGUAGGUAGGUUGGCGUAGGCCGUGUCUCCCCUCCAGGGGCCCCGCUCCGCCGCGGGACGGUAGGUGGGUUGGCGUAGGCCGUGUCUCCCCUCCAGGGGCCCCGCUCCGCCGCGGGACGGUAGGUAGGUUGGCGUAGGCCGUGUCUCCCCUCCAGGGGCCCCGCUCCGCCGCGGGACGGUAGGUGGGUUGGCGUAGGCCGUGUCUCCCCUCCAUGGGCCCCGCUCCGCCGCGGGACGGUAGGUGGGUUGGCGUAGGCCGUGUCUCCCCUCCAGGGGCCCCGCUCCGCCGCGGGACGGUAGGUGGGUUGGCGUAGGCCGUGUCUCCCCUCCAGGGGCCCCGCUCCGCCGCGGGACGGUAGGUGGGUUGGCGUAGGCCGUGUCUCCCCUCCAGGGGCCCCGCUCCGCUGCGGGACGGUAGGUGGGUUGGCGUAGGCCGUGUCUCCCCUCCAGGGGCCCCGCUCCGCUGCGGGACGGUAGGUAGGUUGGCGUAGGCCGUGUCUCCCCUCCAGGGGCCCCGCUCCGCUGCGGGACGGUAGGUAGGUUGGCGUAGGCCGUGUCUCCCCUCCAUGGGCCCCGCUCCGCCGCGGGACGGUAGGUAGGUUGGCGUAGGCCGUGUCUCCCCUCCAUGGGCCCCGCUCUGCCGCGGGAUGGUACGUGGGUUGGCAUAGGCCGUGUCUCCCCUCCAUGGGCCCCGCUCCGCCGCGGGACGGUAGGUAGGUUGGCAUAGGCCGUGUCUCCCCUCCAUGGGCCCCGCUCCGCCGCGGGACGGUAGGUGGGUUGGCAUAGGCCGUGUCUCCCCUCCAUGGGCCCCGCUUCGCCGCGGGACAGUAGGUAGGUUGGCCACAAAGACACCCUUGGCAUGGGAGCCCUGAGGGAAUUCAGCUCUGACUGUGCCUUGUUCAGCACGCUGGCUCGCGUCCCCCUCGUAAAACGGCGUGUGUUCCACUUGGACGCUGCCGGUUUGUCCCUCUUGUAACUCUGUCUCUCUCCGGGCCCAAGGCCUGUUGCCAGAACAAGCCUAAAGCCGCAGAGCUUUCUGUGCCGCAAAUCCACCAGCUGUCACGGGCUGUAAGGCGAGGUCGGGGAUUUCACGCUGCAGGUUUUUUAUCCCAAGCUCUUCACGAGCUGUACUAGAAAACCCAGCACUGCUUCAGCUCUCCCGAGAAGGACGGCUCCUGGAAAAGCACCGGCAGCGUGAAGGGGAACCGGGUCGUUUCAGGAGCCUGCAAUUCAAAGUUUAUUUUAAUCGCAGGCUGUGUUUAAAGGUUUAUUUCCUCUGCCUGCUGAACCUCCGGGAGGGAUGUUUUCAUUCCUGUAUUUAGACUCUUCCCCCCCACCCCCGAAACGUUCCCAAGCCUGCAGCAACGAGCUCAGCCCGGUUUUGCCUUUGUUCAGAGCAGAGGAGGACUUAGCUUGGGGUGUGUCCGCGCUGCAGGUGCCAGGGUGUUGGAGGCCGUGGGAGGAACGGCGUCAGGUCGCCGUUCCUCUGGCGGGGAAAUGGGCAGUCCCUGAAAGGAGAGGCCAGGCCCUGGUGAGCUUUCAGUCACGUCAGAGUUCACAAGUGACAGCACUGUAACCUAGGCCCUACCGUGUAAAUUGCUUCCUUCUGCCUCUGCUGUCCAAGCUGGGAAGGGGCUCAAACGAACAGCCCCGGUCAUCCCGCCCCCUCUGGGGGAGCCACUCGGGAGUAGAACUGUGUGACUGGUGGGUGGAGUCAGGCUCAUUUGACAGAGGGGGGAAACUGAGGCGCAGACUGUGGGGCAGUGACAGAGCCCCGGCCGAACUUGGUUUGCGAACGGCGGGAGGGGGGCUUGCUCACACAGCCCUGCUAGUGGUCUAUACAGUCAUGACUGGAGUGGAGAAGGGGACGAGAGAAGUGUUAUUUACCCCUCACGCAACACACACACACCAGGGGUCACGCACCGAAGGAAUAGGCAGCUGGUUCCAUACAGAUAAGAGGAAGUGUGCAGCGCACAGUUAACCUGCGGAACUCCUUGCCACGGGAAGGUGUGGGGUCACCUGCCCUCCCGUCUCGCCCUGACCCUGGAGUUAGCUCGGCUGCAGCCCUGAGGCACGAGGGGUUGUGUGUCUGCCUUAGGUACACCUCUCCCUCCCAACGCUCUAAUGUAUUGAUCCUCCUGGGAGGCAGGGAGGGCCUAUGAUCCCCAUUGCACAGAUGGGGAAACCGAGGCAUGGAAAAGCAGCCUGCCUCACACAAAGUCACCCAGGGUGUCUGCUGGAGCAAGGGGAUUCCUACAUCCAGGUCUCCUGUGUCUCAGGCCCGCUAUAUCGUCCUUCCUUCAGCUAAGCCCUCACUUAGCAACAUACACCAGGGGGAAACUGAGGCACAAAGGGGCGUGACUUCCCUAAGGCUAUGACGUUCUCCCUGACGUCCCCUUGCUCUCCCCCGAAUCGCAGGGCCAGCUCCCAGCCGGUUGUGUUGGCAUAACAUGGUCGUUGCGCCAGCUGGAAAGCUGCCAGCCCCUUCUCACCGGCCCCCUGCCCUGUCUGCAAUAAUCGAAGCCAUUGAGACCUCGGCUGCGUUUCGGGUGGGCCCUGCCAGGCCAGCCUCAGUCCCAGCUGUGACCCAGAUCCCCUCUGUCGCUCAGCAGCGUGUGAGUCAAUUGUCUGCUGACUCCAGCUUUUCCUUCAGCUCAGCUAUGAGCAAACCCGGCUCCGGAUCCCGUGCCCAGAGCGCUGGGUGAGGGGCUGCGCUGCAACCUCCCUCGGCCGGCUGGGGCUUGUGUGCCGGGGCCAGGGGGCCUCUAGGAACACGAUAAGGACUCGGGCUCCAGCGUGCUCCAUCCUCUGUCUCUGCUGCAGCUGGAGAGCUAGACCCCGAGCCCCCGCCGUGGGGCACGAAACAGCAUCUCUCCCGUGCUACUGCUCAGUCCUUAGGACUGGAUCUGGUUCCAUCUGGACACGGGGCUGGCACCUGUUCCUGUGGGAGCCAAGAGCCCCACC
Caretta caretta (loggerhead turtle) is the source of this 3185-nucleotide non-coding RNA. The record is from RefSeq and is a predicted model, not a curated record. NCBI's taxonomy places the organism in Eukaryota, Metazoa, Chordata, Testudines, Cheloniidae.